Long non-coding RNA from Vitis riparia (riverbank grape), 238 nucleotides. RefSeq lists it as uncharacterized. Lineage: Eukaryota; Viridiplantae; Streptophyta; Magnoliopsida; Vitales; Vitaceae. The transcript has 3 exons. The record is from RefSeq and is a predicted model, not a curated record.
UAUGAAAGCUUGUCUUCUUUGUAUAGAGACAAAGGGGAUACGUUCUUCACCCAAUUGAUGUGGAUAGCAACCUGUCACUCUUUUGUCUAUAAAGAGGUGUUUGCUACUCCAGAAACUUUGAUUGGUUUCCAUACUGAUGCUGGGGCUUCCUUUCACCUCUCACAUCUACCUGGGUACUGGGGGGAAUACUUGGCUCUAACGGGAGAGAAACUCAAUGAACCAGAGAUGAUUGCCUGUG